CAACAGGAAGCAAGAAGAUGGUGGAGUAAUUCUUGCUUCAUCACUUAAGGAGACUCAGAUGGGUCUUUUUCCUGGAGAUUAGAAAUCUAGGUUGAAGAUAGUGUUUAGGCUGACUGUGGGGGAGUGCCUGGUGGCUGGCUCUGAGAUGUCACUGGGGAAUCCUCUCCUGCAUCUGUGGACUCCACUGUCUUGUCUAUAAAUUAAGGGGGUUGGAAACACUCCAGCCCUGACAUUCUAGGGCUCCUUGAUUUGAAGUCCCUUUAUACAACACCCUCCGCCCACCCUCCAUCCAUGGCCAACUGCAGAUUGGUAAUUUGUAAUGAUGAGAGAGGUAAAGUGAAGAGUCACCUUGAUUACCCAGAUCCAUCAUCUCCGUUCCUGGUCCGGUGGUUGAAAAAUCUGCUUCCUGGAGCUCAGAGCCCUGUCCCUGGGCUGCUCUCAUAGCAUUGCCAAGAGUCUUUUCCCAGAGCCCACUCUGCAAGGCUGAAGGGCUGAAUUCCAGAGGGAAGUCACACACACAGAGAGAGAGAGGCAGAGACACAGGCAGAGGGAGAAGCAGGCUCCAUGCACCAGGAGCCCAACGUGGGACUCCAUCCCAGGUCUCCAGGAUCGCGCCCUGGGCCAAAGGCAGGCGCCAAACCGCUGCGCCACCCAGGGAUCCCUUAAGAAUUCUUUAUAGAGGAAGGGUAUAAGCCUUCUUGUCUGUGGUGUAUGUCACAAAUAUUUGUCUCCCAUUUUGUCAGUUAUCUUUGACUUUGUUUAUAGUUCUUUGCCAUGUAUUUUUUAAUUGUACAUAGUCAAAUUCAUUGAUUUUUUUUCUUUUAUUGGCUCUGGACUUUGAGCUAUAAUUAGGAAGGCAUCCCUUAUAUCAAAGUUAAGAGGAAUUUGCCCACCAGUCUUCCAGUACUUGUAUGGUUUCAUUUUUGACAUCUGGAUCCCAAUCCAUUUGGAGUCUGUUUAUGUCUUUUAUGUGAACAAAAAAGGACAUUUUUUUUUCAAAUAACCUCCCAGUUUUCCCGGAAAUUCUUAUGAAAAAUCCAUCUUUAUACUAUCUUGACCCCAGUGAUUAGAGAUAACACUUUUGUCACAUAUUAAACUAUUCUUUUCAUCAAUGUUUUAUUUAUGAAUGGAUAAUAAAUUUUGUCAAAAGGUUUUUCAACAUCUAUGGAGAUAAUUACAUGAUUUGUUUCCUUAGGUCUAUUAAUACACUGUAUUAAUGAACAUCCUAUUAUUAAACCAACCUUACAUGCCUGGAAUAAA
Canis lupus familiaris (dog) is the source of this 1260-nucleotide long non-coding RNA. RefSeq lists it as uncharacterized. The record is from RefSeq and is a predicted model, not a curated record. Lineage: Eukaryota; Metazoa; Chordata; Mammalia; Carnivora; Canidae. The transcript is spliced from 2 exons.